ACGCUCGACACCUACGGGAGGCAGCAGGUGGGGAAUAUUGCACAAGUGGGGGAAACCCUGAUGCAGCGACGCCGCGUGAGCGAAGAAGUAUCUCGGUAUGUAAAGCUCUAUCAGCAGGAAGAAAAUGACGGUACCUGACUAAGAAGCACCGGCUAAAUACGUGCCUGCAGCCGCGGUAAUCUGAGCGGGCUGGCAAGGC
This 199-nucleotide ribosomal RNA is filed under the name uncultured bacterium. RNAcentral describes it as "partial 16S ribosomal RNA". It matches the Rfam family "Bacterial small subunit ribosomal RNA", at positions 328 to 539 of the family's 1533-position model. The record is from RNAcentral.